GUAUUCCGAGGUUUUGGGGCUAAUAAUCCACUCAUCAGUGAGAGCGUACUGUGUGUGGUUUUUUGUGAUGGUUUACUUCACGCCCUUCACAAUAGCCACAAAUAAUAUAAAAGACCUUGGUGUGACUCUAACAACGCAAGUGAAAGAUCUGUAUGACAAGAACUUCAAGUCUCUCAAGCAAGAAAUAAAAGAUCUCAGAAGAUGGAAAGAUCUCCCAUGCUCGUGGAAUGGCAGGAUUAAUGUAGUAAAAAUGGCCAUCUUACUGAAAACAAUCUAUAGAUUCAAUGCAAUCCCCAUCAAAAUUCCAAAUCAAUUCUUCAUAGAGUUAGAACAAUUUGCAAAUUCAUCUGGAAUUUAAAAAAAAACCUAGGAUAGUAAAAACUAUUCUCAACAAUAAAAGAACUUCUGGGGGAAUCAACAUCCCUGACCUCAAACUGUAUUACAGAGCGAUAGUGAUUUAAAAAAAAAAAAAAAAAAAAAAAAGCUAGGCAUGAUGGCGCACGCCUUUAAUCCCAGCACUUGGGAGGCAGAGGCAGGCAGAUUUCUGAGUUCAAGGCCAGCCUGGUCUACAGAGUGAGUUCUAGGACAGCCAGGACUACACAGAGAAACCGUGUCUCAAAAAAACAAAACAAAACAAAAAAACCAAAAAACUUACUCAACAAGCAGAAAUCAUGCACGUGUGCACAUGCUGUUUGUCAAGCAUCACCACAGUGAUUGAUCAAAUGCUCAUCAUAUAAACAAUAGACAGCCACAAUCACACUCAGUGCUACAGAAGUGAGGCUCAGAUAGCAUGGGAAUAAAACUUCUUAACUUCAUCAGGGAUCAGCAAGGGAGACUAGAGGGAAAUGCCACACCUCAGUUUAACAGCACAUGACUUGCUUUUCCUAAAAUGUAGACUUUGGGUCAGAUGGCUUGUUAGGUAAAGGCACUUGCUUCCAAACUUGUCAAACCUGAGUACAACCCCUGGGAUGCACAUAAUAGAAAAAGACUAAUUUUCUUUGUUUGUUUGUUUCGAGACAGGGUUUCGUGAUGUGUAGCCCUGGCUGUCCUGGAACACACUUUGUAGACUAGGCUGUCCUUGAACUCAGAAAUUCGCCUGCCUCUGCCUCCCAAGUAAAAAAACCAAUUCUUACAAGUUGUUCUUUGACCUUAAUCCAUGAACCAUAGUACACAAAUGCUUUCCACCCCAUCUACAUGCAUGUGCACACAAAUAAAUAAGUAAAAAAUAUUAUCAUUUUAAAGUAAAUUUGGGGGAAGAAUAAUAUCUAGAAUUUAUUUAUCCUCAAGAUCCAGAAAUUUUUCGUGUGGGUAGAAAUUUCUCAUUAAAGAUUGAUUCUUGAUCUUAACACACACACACACACACACACACACACACACACACACCCUGCAUGGUAUUGUUACAGACACACAGGUAGAUCAAUGGAACAUAAUUGAAGACCCAGAAAUGAACCCACACAGCUACAGUCACUUGAUCUUUGACAAAGGAGCUAAAACCAUCCAGUGGAAAAAAAGACAGCAUUUUCAACAAACAGUGCUGGUUCAACUAGAGGUCAGCAUGUAGAAGAUUGCAAAUCAAUCCAUUCUUAUCUCCUUGUACAAAGCUCAAGUCUAAGUGGAUCAAGGCCCUCCACAUAAAUCCAGACACACUGAAACUAAUGAAAGAGAAAGUAGGGAAGAGCCUCUAGUACAGGGGAAGUUUUCCUGAACAGAACACCAAUAGCUUAUGCUCUAAGAUCAAACAUUGACAAAUGGUACCUCAUAAAAUUGCAAAGCUUCUGUAAGGCAAAGGACACUCUCAAUAGGACAAAACAGCAACCAAAAACUUGGGAAAAGAUCUUUACCAACCCUACAUUCCAUAGAGGGCUAAUAUCCAAUAUAGACAAAGAACUCAAGAAGUUAAGACUCCAGAGAACCAAAUAAUCCUAUUAAAAAUGGGGUACAGAGCUAAACAGAUAACUCUCAACUGAGGAAACUCGAAUGGCCAAAAAACACCUAAAGAAAUGUUCAACAUCCUUAGUCAUCAGGAGAAUGCAAGUCAAAACAUCCCUGAGAUUCCACCUCACACAGUCAGAAUGGCUAAGAUCAAAAACUCAGGUGACAGCAGAUGCUGGCGAGGAUGUGAAGAAAGAGGAACACUCCUCUAUUGCUGGUGGGAUUGCAAGCUGGUAAAAACAAUGCGGAAAUCAGUUUGGCAGUUCCUCAGAAAAUUGGAUAUAGUACUACCUGAGGACCCAGCUCUAUCCAAAAGAUGCUCCAAUGUAUAACAAGGACAGAUGCUCCACUAUGUUCGUAGCAGCCUUAUUUAUAAUAGCCAGAAGCUG
RNAcentral lists this long non-coding RNA (2321 nucleotides) under Mus musculus (house mouse). Its description in RNAcentral is "long non-coding RNA chr5:32498754-32501075". Lineage: Eukaryota; Metazoa; Chordata; Mammalia; Rodentia; Muridae. The record is from RNAcentral.